GACGAACGCUGGCGGCGUGCUUAACACAUGCAAGUCGAACGGAAAGGCCCUGUUUUUGUGGGGUGCUCGAGUGGCGAACGGGUGAGUAACACGUGAGUAACCUGCCCUUGACUUUGGGAUAACUUCAGGUAACUGGGGCUAAUACCGGAUAGGAGCUCCUGCGGCUGGGUGGGGGUUGGAAAUCUUCGGCGGUUGGGGAUGGCCCCGCGGCUUUUAAGCUUGUGGGUGGGGCAGUGGCUUGCGACGGCUUGUAGGGGUACCGGGCCGGGGGGGGUGACCGGCCACAUUGGGCCUGGGAUACGGCCCAGACUCCUACGGGGGGCAGCAGUGGGGAAUAUUGCACAAUGGGCGGAAGCCUGAGGCGGCAACGCCGCGUGCGGGAUGACGGCCUUCGGGUUGUAAACCGCUUUCGCCUGGGACGAAGGGUGAGUGACGGUAAUGGGUAAAGAAGCACCGGCUAACUACGUG
This 468-nucleotide ribosomal RNA is filed under the name uncultured bacterium. Its description in RNAcentral is "partial 16S ribosomal RNA". It matches the Rfam family "Bacterial small subunit ribosomal RNA", at positions 28 to 507 of the family's 1533-position model. The record is from RNAcentral.